Molecule: ribosomal RNA, 253 nt
Filed under: uncultured bacterium
Lineage: Bacteria
Description: partial 16S ribosomal RNA
Rfam family: Bacterial small subunit ribosomal RNA
Source: RNAcentral
UACGUAGGGUGCAAGCGUUGUCCGGAUUUAUUGGGUUUAAAGGGUGCGUAGGCGGCCCUGUAAGUCAGUGGUGAAAUCCCAUCGCUCACCGAUGGAACUGCCGCUGAUACUGUCGAGCUUGAGGACAGUAGGGGAGAGUGGAACUCCUGGUGUAGCGGUGAAAUGCGUAGAUAUCAGGAGGAACGCCGGUGGCGAAAGCGACUCUCUGGGCUGUUCCUGACACUGAUGCGCGAAAGCUAGGGGAGCAAACAGG